UGAGUGACCUGCCCUUCACUCUGGGAUAACUCCGGGAAACCGGGGCUAAUACUGGAUAUGACUCGAACAGGCAUCUGUUUCGGGUGGAAAGAUUUAUUGGUGGAGGAUGGACUCGCGGCCUAUCAGCUUGUUGGUGAGGUAGUGGCUCACCAAGGCGACGACGGGUAGCCGGCCUGAGAGGGUNAUCGGCCACAUUGGAACUGAGACACGGUCCAGACUCCUACGGGAGGNA
Molecule: ribosomal RNA, 232 nt
Filed under: uncultured bacterium
Lineage: Bacteria
Description: partial 16S ribosomal RNA
Rfam family: Bacterial small subunit ribosomal RNA
Source: RNAcentral